This is a long non-coding RNA of Lucilia sericata (common green bottle fly), 1217 nucleotides long. RefSeq lists it as uncharacterized. The record is from RefSeq and is a predicted model, not a curated record. The transcript is spliced from 3 exons. NCBI's taxonomy places the organism in Eukaryota, Metazoa, Arthropoda, Insecta, Diptera, Calliphoridae.
CCGUAGCGCCGAACGGUCUAACAAUUUUCUCUGAAGAAAAUUUAUUAUAUUUCUUAAUUUUUCUCUGUUGCAAGUAAACAAAAUAAAGAAAAUCUUUAUAACAAAAAAGAAAAUUCUAUUCACACAAACACACACACACAUCUUAAGCAAAAUAAAAAAAAAACGUUUGUACAUUUGUACAGGCGUUGUUAGUUGUUAACAAAAAAAGAAAUUAUUUUAGUUUUUUUUUUAAGAUUUGUUGACAAAAUUUGUUUAAUGUUUGGUUUGUGUGUUUUUUUUUUUAAUUUAAAAAAAAAUUUUGUCAAUUAAUUUAAGCCGGAAUUUGGUACGUGUGCGUUUGUUUUAGAGUGUGCGGUCCAAAAAAACAAAAACAAACAAAUUUGUUAAUAACAAGAAUGUUUAGAGAGAAAAAAAUUGUUUAAACAGCAGCAACAGCAGCAUUAAGAAAAAGUUGUGUUUUAAUGAUAAAUUAAAUACAAAUUUAUAAUAAAUUAAAAAAAAUAUAAAACAAAAAUAAAGAAUACUAAUAACAAAACAACUAAACAGAAAUACCUGAUUAUGACGUUUCAAUUUUAUUAUAAUUAUAAUUCUUAAUCACUUUUUGUUGUGAAAAAAAAUAACAAAAAAUAAAACAACAAAAUAUAAAUAAAUUUUGUUUAUUUAGUUAAAUUUGGCGCGUUUUUUUUUUCUCUAUAAAGUUUAAUAAAAGUUUAAAUAAAAUUUAAACAAAUUUUGUGAAAAGUUUUAAAUUGAACAUGAAAAUUCUUGUCCACCCCGACGUAUGAGUGUUAAGGAAUUAAUGAUUCCACUGUCUUAUAAAUCUGACUGACCAUAUUACUGGUCCUAAGCUAUAAAACUUUAAUAACAACAACAAAUACUUAUGUAUAUAUGAGAGCUGUUUUGGUACUUUUUGAACACACAAAAAAGUACUUUGCUAACUUUUAAAUUGUACAUUCCAACACAGGUGUCUGUAUAAACACUACAACAGGUGGUUAAAUAAAAAUUAAAUGGACAAAAGAUGGAUAAAAAUUAAAUAAAAUUGCUUUUUGUUCUUGUUGUUAUUUUUAUUGAUUGCGGUGUGCGUGUGCGAAUGAGUGUAAACGUUGUGUGCUUGAGUAGCUGAGAGUUGAGUUGUAUUUAAAAGAAAAUAGUACAAGAAGAAAACAAAACAAAAACAAACACAAAACAAAUUGUUAAAAGUAAAAGAAACACAAAAA